UAUAAGGUGACAAAGAGCUUACUUCCUGAAGAGUGCAGAUUGUUUUAAAAAACUCUGUCUAGUGUAUCCUCAAAGCUCUUGAUGUAGUUUACUAUUGAUCAACAACUUCAAGCAUUGUGCGACCUGGAAUAGAACUUGUAGAGUGAAAUCUGAAGACCUGAUUGCUGCUAGAGGAUGAAGGUUUCAGGACUGGUCUGCUCAACUCGUCCUACAGUUUUCUGAAGCAGAGAAGGUCGUUGAAUGCUUUUGUUGGAGGUACAGGUUUCAUCCCGAAUGAGUUACAGCCAGCUCAUGGCAUUUGAUCAAGUUUAUAUUAAUUCUUUUAUUUACUCUCUUUGCAGAAUUUGUUAGCAGUAUAUGUUCGUGUGAAUUUCAAUUGGCAAGAUAAGAAGUCGUGGAUGCGUGACAAACAUGUAAUGCGAGUGUGAGGUAUAUACGCAACAACACAAGGUAUCUGUGUUAAAUGGAUCUUUGCCAUGGCAGGUCCAAAAAAAUUAAAUUGUUUUGAUAUGUUGGCUGUAUAUGUUCUUGUGAAUUUUAAUUGGUGAGAUCAGAAGUCGUGGUUGCGUGAGAUACAUGUAAUGUGAGUGUGAAGUAUAUACACAACCACACAAGGUAUCUGUGUUAAAUGGAUCUUUGCUAUGUCAGGUGCGCUUGCAUGGCAGGUCCGAAAAAUUAAUGAAGUUACAGUUAUUUUGUUUUGAGAGGGGAGAUAGGUUUGGGGACAUUUUCUUUUAUCCCCGCCUCCCUCUCCCUCUCUGUUGUGUCUUGUUCUUUUUUUUUUUUUUUUUUUGUCUUCUCUCUCUCUUUCUUUUCUUCUUGCUUCUCUAUUCUGAUACUUUCCUUUACUGUUAUGCUCCACCCAUAAAAUUGCGAGGACUUCUAAUAAACAAAACCUAAUUCAACAGGCAAUUAACAACACAUUGAAGUACACAGUGCGAUAACAAGGUACAUGGUUAUGCUGUUAUGAUACCAGAAUUUAUUCUCUCCUGAAUUCAUGACAUUAUUUGUGGUUUAUGACUAAAAUUGAAGGCCAUGGAUGCAAUUAAACUCUGAUAUGUUUAAUUGAUUUGCUUAAGAUAGUCACGAACUACGAGCAAUAUUUUCAUCAUUGAGUUAUUUUAUUAUUUACAUUUAAGUAUAUUUUGUGUUUUCUAGAAAUACAGUGAAAGAGUACAUUAAGGAUAUGUUUGAAAUUCUAAUAUAUGAAGGAUAUGUUUGAAUUUUAAUACAUUAAGGAUAUGUUUGAAUUCAAUCAAGCAGAUUUUUGCAAUUUUUUCUACUAUAAUAGCGUGUACUUGAUUUUGUUUUGAUACACAUUCUACUUGACUCUGAUGAGAACGAGAUUACUGUCAAUUCAAUACUCUAUAUUUACACUAAAUUUAAUUGAGUUUAAGUGUCAAACAUACUAAUACUAAGUGUCGUUAAAUAGUUUUUGCUAUACAGCAGAAUUUGAUCAAGCUGUUGUUUUCUGCAAUUUGCGAUCGACAACACUACUAAUAUCAUUAUCACUCAAAAGCAUUAAAUCUGUAUAUAUUUGUCAAAUUGGGUCAUCCAAAUUAUGUGACUGAGAAAGCAGUUAACUUACUCAAUACAAACACAGAUGUAUAUAUUUGUCGAUUCAAGAGCAUUGAUACACAUAUGCGUCUACUCAACAGUUGACAUGAAAUUGACUUUGAAACUGGUCGGCUAGUUGGACUUGUGAUUGGGCUUUUUGCGAUGUGUCAGAUGUUGUAUGAAAGCUUGCUAGCUGAUGAUUGCAGAUGGCUGUAAAAAACUGUAGGCACUGUAGUUGUGUAGUUUGUGCCAGCUGAUAAUGCGACCUAGAAUAAAAUGGUGAAUUCCGAGGAUAUGGUUGCUACUAAGGUUCCAGGGUGGGUUUCUACAACUUGUUCUAAGUUUUGUGAAGUAGGGAGGAUCAUCAGAUGCUUUAUUGGAGGUACUUGUUUUUGCCAUGAAUGAUUGUUACUAGUUCAUGGCAGGCAGUGGAUAGUUAUAUUUUAUUUGGUUUCUUUACAGUGGAGUUUUAAAGUUCAUAUCUGCCUACUAGCGUUUCUCUACUAGCGUUUGUUUUGGAUGGCUCCAUUUUUUUUAUCAGGAUGAAUCCAAUUUCUCGUUAGUGUUUGAAAACUUAUGUACUUAAAAACGUUGUUUGGCAUGAUUGAUUAAGCUGCUUUUUACCUUCAUUAAGCGUAGCAUUAUAAUAUAGUCCAAAUAUUCAAUGCCAGUAUGUCUGUUGGAAAUGGAAAUUGCAUUAUUUUCUAAUACAGUUCAUUUUCUUUCCAGGUUGUAACUGGCUUUGUUUGGUGCAUCAACAUUAAAGGUUGUGCUUGUGUACAAACAUGUGUCUCUUAGCCGUACAUUGAGAUAUUCCGUACUGUUGGUGGAUUUUUUUAUAGCCUUGGGCUGUGAACACGGUAUAAAUCUGUUUAAUUCAUUGUAUUUUACUCAUCCAUGUUAAUGUUUUUGCGGAGGUUGGAUUUGCUUUAUAUAAACGACCCCUUUAACCCGGGGGAGCAACCUCUCCCCUGUUCGUCUUCGACAAGACACCCUGAAUAAGAACCAUCAUAAUAUCAUAUAUUCUAAUGAGGUCUUUUCAUUUCAACCUAGGUAAGUAAGGUAGGUCACUGAGAAGCCAAAUCAGUGACCAGCUGCCCCCUACACUUCGUAUGAUAUAUCACAUAAUACUCACCUAGUGCUAAAGAAAUAAUGCAAAUAAACCAAAGAUAUCAAGUUACAUGCUAUUACAAAAUUUCUAAAGCAUGUAAAAUAUUCUGUUUUAGUCGGUAGAGAAUAUUUUGCAUGCUUUGGAAAUUUUUUAGUUGGUAGAGAAUAUUUUGCAUGCUUUGGAAAUUUUGUAAUAGCAUGUAACCUGAUAUCUUUGGUUUAUAUUGCAUUUUCUUAAAAUUUUCUUAUCAUCAACUUUAGCAAUAGGUGAGUAUUAUGUGACAGGUUUGUCACUAAUUUGGCUUUUAGUUUCAUAAGUUAUUGACUAGUUUCUAGUGAUAUUGGGAUGUAGUUCUAAUUAAUUCUCAGUGAGAUGAUCAGAGUAUCCACAACCUACCUUACUUACCUAGGUUGAAAUGAAAAGAGCUGUCAUUAGAGUAUAUGAUACUAUGAUGGUUCUUAUUCAGGGAGUCUUGUCGAUGACGAACAGGGGAGAGGUUGCUCCCCCGGGUUAAGGGGUCGUUUAUAUAAAGCAACCUUAAAAUUUCUUUUCCAUUGCUGUUGGUGGUUUCAUAACCGUCAUAUCCCCCUCUAAUUUAACUUUCAUCACCUGUAUAUAUAUCUCCGACUAAUUAGUUUUGGCCUUUGCUAAUUGAGUUCUUCCAAUUUGUGACUUGGUAAAUUUGUUGUCUCACAUGAGUCUAAAAUGCAUUUGAAAUGAGGAGCCUAGCAAAUAUUAUAGAUUUAUGAGAUUCAAUUUUGUUUUGAACACUAACAGAUAGUACAAGGAAAAAUUUGGUCCCUUUAGGUUACUCUUUUAGAUACAACGCUGAACAUUAAUUCCUUUCAAAGGAUAAACAUCAGUGUUUUGAACUAGAAUUAUACCAAAUGAGUAAAUAUCAAUUAAAAGUUUCCUUAAAAUAGUAGCACCAUUGAGAUUCUUGUGUCUGUUUGCAUUGUAUAUCAGUUCACCUAUAUUAUUCGAAGCUGCAACAUUCCUCAGAAUAGCAGCAAUUGAGGAGCAUGCACCGCAAGUGAAUUUGUUUAUUCAAUUGAGGAAGAAGAGAAUGAAGAUGAGUUCUAAUCUGAUGAUUUUCAAUCUGGUCCAGACACUAACUUCUUCUCUUACACUUUCAGUAUAGGGGCUAUAAUUUGCUUCAUGGAGUAAAAUUUUCAAUUUUAAAUGUAGUGUUAAUAAUGACAGGUGUAUAAUCAACUCAACACAGUCAAUGUUUACGUAAUCGACUCAACACGGUCAAUGUUACGUAAAGUGCACAAAUGUCAUGUGUUAUAAAAGUACUGAUGAAAUACUAUUUGUUAUACUGAGGGGUAAAAGUAUCUUUUUAAGGUAUCUAAUGUGUUUUCAUGAUUUUUUUCUCGGGAUGAUUUUCAUGAUAUCAUUAAUCAUUUUAAAAAAAUAAUGAAUCUUAAAUUUAGGCUUAAGAUAUAUGAAUGAAUAGUAAAUUUUGGCUUGUGAUAUAUAAUUUGUUGUAAAUUAUAAUUUUCAAGCUUAACAUACAUUUUUUAACAGAUAAUUUUCUUUUUUAGGUGAACCGAUAAUAUUUUUAUGUAGAACAAAUAUGGGGACAAUAGUUCUCUAUAUAGCAAUGCCGAGUCCCUAGGGCUCCAUUAAAUAUCAGAUAGCAGCCAGAUUAUAGAUUUAGAUUUUAGUAUUUCUCUUUUGGAUAUUCUUAAAAACUGCAAACAAAAUGCGUUUGUUUGUUUGUAUUUAUCUUAUUUGGAGAAAAUGUGUUUUUCAUGGUCUAUUUUUGUUAGGGUGUGUUUGUUUCAAGUUUACCAAAUUUAUUCCUAGGAAUAACAUUCCUUGGAAUAUAAAGAUGGGAAUUUUAUUCCAAGGAAUUUAUGAAAAAUAUGUUUGGUUAGCUUUUUAAUAUUCCUAGGAACCAUAAAAAUAGGGAUUAUAAUAGGUAAACUAUUUAUGAAUUUAUUCCCAUCUCUAUGGGAACUUUAUUCCCACCAUUUUCCUUGGGAAAUUUUUUCUAUUCCCAGGAACAUUUUAUCAUUUUAUACCCAGGAAUAAAAUUUAGUAAACUUGUAACAAACAUAGGCAUAUACAUUCUUAUCAUUUUAUUCCCGAGAAUCAACAAUUAUAACUUGAAACAAACACACCCUUAGAAAACAGUCGGAGGUGUAAAGUAGAUCUCUUUUUCUUUAGGGUAUGGUAAAAUUUGUUUGGAUAAUAGGCAAUUUAUUUUUGUUUGGAUAAAUAGGCAAUUUAUAUUUAUGCGAACAUACAAACUGGCUUUUACAGCUAUUACUGGCCAUUUAUAGUUAUUCAAUGUCUUUGAGCUCGUGUUAAUUGUUUAAAAUUUAGAAUAGUAUUUAACCCUCUGAUGGAUCCAUAUGCUCAUACUGGAAUGAGCCCCAAACUACUUUGUAUGGGAGAUUGGUGGUUCGACUCCACCUGGAUCCGACUUAUGUCAAUCAUGUUUAAGCAUGGCAAUUAGCACUCAUCUUUAUCUGUCUGGUAAAUCAAGUUGUGGCAGCAUGUAAUUCAAUGGAAAGGCCCAGAUACGUGUUAGAGGUGUAUGCUAUAAGAGAGUUUAAAAGCAGGCUACUUUCACUUUUUGUGAAUUCAUGUAGAAAUGAUUUGAUUAGAAAUGGUACUGAUGUCGAGCUUAAUUAGAUGGAAAGUCUAUAGCAUACAAGGAUUGGGUGGUGAGAAAUCUUAUUUAAGUUGUGAAAAUCAUGAACAAUUCUACAUGUUCCCUUUUUCUCUAUUGGGUUAGUAUUUUUCACGGUUCACUGAAUAUUAUUAUUUUGGCUUAAUUGCACUUUUGGCCCCUAUCUUUUCAAAAGUUGCGAUUAUUUUUCUAAUUAAUUAAAAUACAAAAUAGUCCCCUAUGUAUUGGAUCUUUGACAGUUUUGCUUCAUUUAAGGGAUGUGGGUGCCACAUCAGCGAAGACUAAGUCAAAAGUGGCCUUGGAGGCCAAAACUGCCAAAGAUCCAAUACAUAGGGGGCUGUUUUGUAUUUUUAAUUAGUUAGGAGGCCAAAAUCGCAACUUUUCAAAAGAUAGGGGGCCAAAAGUGCAAUUAAACCUAUUAUUUGAGUACUUGGGCUAGAAGGAUUGAUCGUUUUUAAUUAGAUUUUUGAAUGCAACUCUAGAAGAACAUGUAUUUUAGGUCUAAGCUGAAUGAUGUGCCAUCUGAAAUUCAUGGAUAGAUGAUUAAAUUGAUACAGUAUUACUACCUCUGUCCAUAAAUAUAGGACAUUAAGUUAAAAGCACGAAAUUAAGAAAGUUGAUUCUAUUAAUUUUAUUGACAAUUGAUAUUAUUUCACAAAUUUACCCUUUAGGAGAAAGGAUUUGUUAAUGUUUCCAAAAGUAUAUAUUGAAGAAAAAUAUGUAAUAUAAAUAGGGGUAUAUUGGUGAAGAAAUAAUUAAUGUAUUUUGAAAAGAGUCUUAUAAAAAGAAACAAAAAAUGAAUCUUAUAAUUAAAGACGAAGGUUAGUAUAUGAUUGAAGAACUACAAACAUGAAAAUGUUAACAAGUGUCUCCGGACUUAAUAAGGAAGUAUUUAUGAAAAUUCCUGUUAUUACUGCAUUGGAAAUCAUUAUAUUAACUUUUUAAAAGAAUAAUUCUUAAAUUAAGAUCCUUAAAAAAUGUCAUUGGGACACUAGUUAACAUUGAUCCAUAAUAAAAUACAUUACUCACUUCUCAUAAAUAACAAAAUCUAUACCAAAAAUAAUUAUUUUGGAUACUCUAAAAAGGGUACCCUAAACUUUUAAAAUCAUUCUAAAGUUUUAAACUAUUUUUUCAGACAACUAUUUAGUCCCUCGUUAACAAAAUUAGUUGUCUUUCAAUAGUUUAAGGAUUAAAUAGAUGUAUUGACCUGUUAGUUGAUUUACUUAUUUAAAAAGUAGUAGAUUAACAAAAGAAUGAAAUUUAUUCUUGUGAGUUUAGCUCGGUUGGUAUGGACAAUGUCACUUUUCUUAUCUUUUACCACACUACUUGGGUUUCAAAAUGAACCGUCCUUUUCUUUCUCUUGAUGCAGCUGCCUUAACCAUUUCUUCCUUUAUAGCAAAACUAGUUUAUUUCAAUUCCAAUCCCAUGUUCAUCGUAACCAUAAUCUUAUUGUUUAACCACUCUCUUUCAUCAUCUCAUGCAGUUUCAGAUCUGACCUCUCUGUUGCGUUGCACUCUUUCAUCUAUCUAUUAUCAGGUAAACUCUCGUUUAUGUUACCAUUUCUCUUUAAACCUUUUUAUUUCGUGUUUAUAAUGGUAGUAACAAAGACGGUGAAUUUUUGAAUAUAUUAUUUUAUCUGUUUUUUACAUAUGUGAACUGGAGUCCAAAUUUCUUUACGUUGUUCAUUUUCUAUACUGAUUUGCGUUUUCAAUAUUGCCUUUCGUCACUAACAUAUCCCUUUUCAGUGCAAGAUUUGAAGAUUUCAUGUUCUAGAGAUUGUUGUGUGAUGUCUACGAUUUUGUCUGAUGGGUUGCAAAAUUUCACUACUUUACCAACUGUGAUUUCCUUGAUUAAAUGAAGUGCCUUCUAUGUUGAAGAGUAACCAAUUCUCGAUAGAGAGCUAAUUAUGGGAUAAUGGGAAUAAACCAAUGGUAAAAUAUACCAUUCACCGGCGUCAUCCUCGAAAAGAAAGAGUAUGAGGUCUUUCUCCGGAGUGGGAGGAGGGAGGGAGUUGGUGGGUUAGGGUUUUAGACCUUAGGGUUUCGGACCUUUUGUCGCAAUCGGGUUUGAGUUCCUUGCUUUCAAAUUGAUGGAGCAAUCGAGGGCGGAAGGAUAAUUUUGAGAAGAAUGUACAUUGUUUAUUAGUUUAAUCCAAGAAAAACAAUUUUUCUUAAUUCUUGUGUAUUUAUUAAAAAGGUCUUAUACGUAAAAUUUUUGUGAUCAAUUUUGUACUGUUAAAUUAUAUAAUUAGGAUAUGUUUUGAUUGUUUAAAUUCAAUCUAACACAUGUUUGCGAUGUUUUCUACUAUAAAAAAAUGCACUUGAUUUUGUAAUGGUAUGCAUGCUACAAUUAGAUUCAGGAGAGAGUUAGAUUACUCUCAGUUGGUGUCAAAUAGCGGCUAUUGUGGCACCAUGACGCAGCAAAAUUUGAACAAAUCACUUCUGUUCCAUGAUCCGCUAUUUAGAACAAAGUGUAGUCAAAUAGCCUCUGUUGUGGCGUUAUAGCAUAGUGAAAUUUAAGCAAAUUCCAGCUGACAACUAUAUUAUCAGCUUCUCAUUUCCAUCCAAAAAUCUUUGAAUCUGCACAGUAGAAUUGGUAACGAAUCAACUAAAUUAUCUUGUCAAAGAGGCAGUUAACUUAAUCGUGAAUACAAUAAAUUAAAACGCAAAUGCAUAUAUUUGUUGCCUCAUGACCACUUGGACUCAGAUACGUGUAAUCUCAACUUCUUAUUUGCCAAUUUAUUUGAUUUUUCCAUUACAUAUCUACAUGGUUGUAAUCAUGUCUGAUAUCCGUAUUCAUUUAAUACUAUAACUGUCGACACGAAAUGGCAGUUAGACAGUACUGGUUGGCAUUUUGCGUCUGUUAUAAAGCUGUUAGUUGGACUUGUAAUUGGGGUUUCCAUGAACGAUAUGCACUUAUUUUGCAAUAGAUCUUGGUGCUUGAUGAUUAUGUAAAUGUGAAAUUUUGCUUAAUAUAUAUUCUUUUAUACUAAUAUGAUAUGAUAAACAAUGUGUUUAAAUUUUAAUUAUUAAUAUGUUAUAUAGCAAAAAUAGUUAGCUAUCAACAAUGUGUUAAUCUAAAAGAAUAAAACAGUAAAUAACAUAUUGUUAUAGGGUGCACCUUGUUAUAUUAUUUGUUGUUUAAAUAAUUGAAAUAAGUACUAGAACUACGGUUUUGGUAACUGAAUGUCUCUUCCAAGCCAAACCAACAUACAAAACACCUCCCCUAUCAUUUCCUACCAUUCAUCUCUGCUUUGCACACAAAUUGCCAAGACAUAAUAGCCAACCGGGCUCUUCAACGAACUUUGUAAUGAAGGCAUUCAAAGCUUAUUACAAGCUUCGCCUUGGAUGCACCAACAAGCGUCGUUUGGGUGCUAGGCUCAAGAGGGCUGCUGCUGAGGCAGAAAAGGAGGACAAGAUUACUUGACAUCCCUUUUGUUUAUUCUCUUUAAUAUUUAGUUGAUGUUUUUAUUUAUAUGAAGAUUAUCAUCUAUAGAGAUACUUUACUCAUAAUUUUACAACAUUUUGUGUACUGCUACUUAAGUUUGUUGGUUUUGCAAGUGCUAUGUUUUGUUUAUCUGUUCACGUGUUUCCAAAUCAGAAUUGCAUCAUGAUUAAGCAUACCAUCCAUGGCUUCUGCCAAGUUACCACCGGAUGUCUCAGAUUUUUCAAAAGGCAUAUACUAAAUUGAUUAUAACAGCAGAUGAGCCUGUGGGUGUGUAUUAGCUUUUGAGGAAUCAAACAAUGGUUACUGUUAACCUGUGAAGCCCGGAUACGAGAUACGAUACGGAUACGAUACUGCACCGAUACGUCGAUACGGCAAAAUUUCAAAAAUCAAGAUACGAUACGGCUGAGAUACGUUAAUAAAAAAAUUAUAUAAUUAAAUGUACUAUAUAAUUAUAACCAUUUUUUUAUUAUGCAAGUAUAUUAACAAACACAAGAAACCAGACUCGUAGCACAUUAAUAUAAAUAUAAUAUUGACGAUUAAGAGAGUGGUCAUUAGUCAAUUACAUACGCAAUAUAUACCAAAAUUAAGAGCACCAUCAGUGUUAUACAUCAAUGCUACACUAUAUCCAAAAUGAACUUGUUAGUGAUAUACUAUAUCGAUCCAAAAAAGAAUCACUAUAUCCAAAAAAAGAACACAUCAGUACUAAGAGUUAACACUAACAAGUAACUGACGUUUACAUCUCCUCUCCUCCAUUCCCAUCAUCAAGAUACAGAUCAACUUCCAAAUCCGGUUCAUCCAAAGACAACUCUGCUAACUCAAUUCCAACACCAUCAAGCGGUUCAUGCGCAUCUCCUCUAAUGUCCCACAUUCUUGAUUGUCCUUUCUUAUAUCCACAUUCUUUCCUUGACAAUAGUCGAAGAUUAAUAUGCACAUAAACCAAAUCUUCUACCCUUUUUGGAUCCAUUUUGUUUCUUUUCAAAGAAUGGAUAAAAGAGAAAGUACUCAAAUUUCUCUCACAACAGGAGGAAGAACAAGGUUGCACAGGAAGCUUUAAAGCAAGCUUUUGGAUAGUUCGACGGUGGCCAAAGUGGACGGCGACCACUUUGGAAGAAAAAGUUGAAACCCUAAUUUCUUAGAAAGGGAAAGAUGCAAUUGGUUGUGUGGUGUGGUGUGGGUCGUACUGGCACCAAAGAAAGAUAAAGGAAAUAUAUAUAUAUUAUAGUAAUAUAAUGUUUUUAUUCUUAUUUUUUACACAAAAAAAAAAACAGAAAUCAAAAUAAUAUAAAAAAACACAAGUAUCCGUGCGUAUCGGGAUGUAUCGGAAAGUAUCGGAUAAUUAUUUUUUAAAAAAAUAAAAUUUAAUAUUUAGAUACUCUCCGGAUACGUAUCGGAAAGUAUCGGGCAGGUAUCGGUGCAGGAUACGCAGGGGAUACGGUACGUCAUCCAUUUUGAAGUAUCGGGGCUUCACAGCUGUUAACUACAGUUGGGGAUAAAAUGGUAUUUUCCAUGUGUUUUUAAGCAGAACUUGAUGUGGAAAAACAAUUUUCCUCUCCUAAUAUGAUAAACUUGUGCCCUUAACGGCUCAAAUUAAAGAACUAAGAAAGGAAAUAAUAAAUAAAUGAGUAAAUAGACAAUUAUCCCCUGAAAUUGUAAGUUUCGUCAAUUACCCAUCGAAAUUAACAAAAUUUCAAUUACCCCUGAAAUUUUACAACUUUAAUCAAUUUACUACUUCCGUCAAAUUUUUCUGUCAGUGAACAUGACGUUUUGCAAAUACUCCCUAAAGUUUUGCAUUUAUGUGCAAAAUGCCUCACGAACUUAAAAAUUUAUAUUAUUUUUUAAUAGGUGGAAGAAAAAUACACACCAUAAACACAAACACUAGAACAUGACUGCUCUAAAUUCAAGAUCAAUGGAAACUGGUUGAGAACCAAUAAAUUAAUUUUCAUAUUUCUUUUGAAUUAGAAAAGUAAUUAUUACCGACCUGUUUGGUUGGGGAGAGAGAGAAAGAUGGACGAGAGAAACAGCCAAGAAACUGUCAACUUCUUUCGUUUGGCACACGAGAGAAACAGGUGCGAGAGAAUAAAUCAGCGUGGGUCCCACACCUUUUUUCUUCGUCUCUAUCCUGCGAAAAAAACAGAGAGAAAGAUUCGUUAAUUCAUUUUUCCAUUAAUACCCAUGUUUCUCUGUAAAUAAUGGAGAGAAGCUUCUUCUCUACUCUUUGGAAUUUUCCUUAGUGGCCAAAAAAUUUACAGCUUAAAUAUUGCCUUGUAUCUGUAAAAGAAGUCGAUAGAAGACAGAGGUUAAAAACAAAUUGGAGUUUAAUAAUAACAAUCGUUGAUAGACUUAUCAAAAAAACUAUAUUAAUUUAAAACUGAACAUUUGUGUCUAUAGUAAGAGAAGUUAAUAUUAACAAAAAAAGUGAUUGUGGAUGAGACGAAAGGAACAACGUGUAUAUAUACUAUGAUGGUCUUUGGGUUAAUUAUGAAUAUUUAUAGGUUAAUUUAGUCAAUUAAAUUUAAAAUUAAAAGUUAUAAUAACAAUUCUGUCAAAAAAAAUUACAAUAACAAUAUUUAUCAAUUCAAAUUUAUAAUUUCUAAAAUUACAAAAAUAAUAUAAUAUAUUACUUUCAAUUAAAAAAAUAAUCUAAUAGGUUAAACUACUAGAAACUUGAUUCAAGUUAUUUAAAAAAUUAAAUAAAUGGCUCAAAAAACAUUAAAUUAAUUUUUAUAUAAGGCUUUUCACUUAGGGGUAUUUUGGUACAUUCCAAUAUAAUCAAUAUUUCUUUCUUCUCUAUCUCUUCUAUCUUUUUCUUAUAUCAAACAACCUAUCAAAUCAACUUUGUUUCUCACUUAUUUAUCUCUUUUCAAACUCUCUCUUAUCUAUUUCUCUCUUCACAAUUUAUCUUCUCAAUCAAACGCACCCAACAUGUUGGCUAUAGUACUUACAAUCUUAUUCUAAUGAAAAACAAAAAAUAUCAGCACAGGAACAAAUGACUUUGUCAUUUGCACUCUUAUAUCAUAUAAUUUCUAUACAUAUCAAUAGUGAGCAAGAGAUUUCACAGAAGGAAAAAGCCAAAAGUAAUGAAAAAAUAAUAUAAAUUUUUCCCACCCCAUAGAGCCAACUUUUUUUGUUCUUAUGGUGUGUAUUUUCAUUUAUUCUAGUGUUCCACUUAUGAGAAAAUAAUAUAAAUUUUUAAGUUCGGGAGGCAUUUUGCACAUAAGUGCAAAACUUUGGACGGUAUUUGCAAAAUGUCAUAUUCACUAACAGAAAAAUUUGACGGAGGGGGUAAAUUGAUUAACGUUGUGAAAUUUUAGGGGUAUAAUUGACGAAACUUACAAUUUCAGGGGGUAAUUGCCUAUUUACUCAUAAAUAAAUUUGUAUUGAAAAAUAUAAAUUGUUAAACUUUUACAACAUUGAAUACACAAGUUUCAAGAAAAUAUUUUUAUCUUUAGUUUUUUAACUUGUGCUUUAAAUAUUCAAGUUAAUAUUUUCCAUAAAUAAAUUGGUUAUGUAAUAUUGAUUAUGUUUAAGAACAUGAUAAACAAUAAAUUUGAGUUUAAAAAUCAAUUGUAAAGGCAAAAAUUAUGUAUUCUAACUUCAAAUUAGAAUGAGUAAAGGGUGAUAAGAUCAUCAUGCGUUUGAAGCAUAGCUCUCUUGAAUUCUAAUACCGAGUUUCAAACCAUACUUGACAAUUGAGACAACCAUUUCAUCAUCAAAACAGCAAGUUUAAUUAGAGCACUACCUUCCUUUAUAUAAGUUCAUGGAGAAGAAAUUUAAGUAACAUUAUGCAUAUCAAAUAAUUUUUUAUUUUUUUUUAAAAGUAUGUCCAAGUCUCAAACAGAAGACCUCAAGGUGCAAGAACAAGUUCGAAACCAAGUGAUCUUUUGAGAGACAAACAAUCUUUUGAUAUAUAUGAGCGAGGAGCAGGACAUACAAUAUUUGAAAAUUGAAAUACACAACUAAGUUUUGUCCUAAUGUGUCAUUGAUGAAUGUCUCGAUACAUUAUGUUCAAAUCAUUUGCAAUGCUAUCCUUUAUAUCUAAUCCUAGCAGCAAUGCAAACUCUAAUUGCCAACCUCUAACCCUACUUUUUUGGCUCCAUUUUAUUCUGACCGUUAGAUCAUUGUAAUUAGAAAAAUUAGCACAUCAGCCGUUAGAUCAAAUCACACUCUUUGAAAAAUGAAACACAAAAACAAAACAGCUGUUAUUAUCUGAUCUUUUUUCAAUGUACAUAUUUUCUUUUUCCACGCUUUUUUCUUUUCCAAACACUCUUUUGUGAAACUCUUUUCUGCUUACCUUCAUUUCACUACACCUCUCUCUCUCUCUCUCUCUCUCUCUCUCUCUCUCUCUCUGCCAAUGAAAAAUUUCACUCUCUUCCAUACGUCUUUUCUACUUUCACAAUCGUGUUUCUCCUCUCAUCCCUCGCCGUCGUCGACUUGACCGCCACCGUCCACCUCAGCCUCAACACACCGCCGUCGUUUUUCCUUUUCUUGAGACCAGGUAUUUCUUUGAUAUUUGUUCCCGAUAAAUCAAAUUCAAAUCCCUAAAAAAGCAUCACCUUUUUUCUCUUCCGCGUAGGCAAACCUGAGACGGACGGCCACGGUCCCGACCUUAUCAGCACCGGAGGUGUACUAAAUAGUCAAUUGAGAACGAGCAGGUAUUCAUUCAAUCAUUGUUAUCAAUUUAGUGGAUUCGGUCUAUUCCAAUUUGGUUGAAUUAUGUGUUUCAGUGUUUGUUUACGGGUAAGUAAAUUUGAUUGAAUUUGGGUGAUUAUAAGAAUAUAAUGUGUUUUAUGGGUACUGGGUAGUAUAUUUUGUAGUUGGUUUGAUGGCAAUGUUUAUGGUUCAGUAAUGACCAUGUUUAAGUCUACUGAUUAUUAUUAUUGGUUUUAAAGAAUAGUGCAGCGAAACUCAGAGAAACUAAGUGCUAAGAAGUUGGGAAUUGUGGAUUUGAAACCGCGGCCCAGUGUAUCAAAUGUCUCUAUAUUAUUUGUUUAAUUAGUAAAUUAUCAAUGUUUUGAACAUUAGUUGUGGUAAAUGUCGUGGUUGUAUCACGAUCUUUAGUGUUGCAGUGAGAUGCAGUCAAUGCGGUUUCAGUCGUGGCCGAAUUCCUGUUUCGAUAACAUAAAAGGUUAUCACGUCGCAGUCCAGACUGUGGUCACGGACCUCUAUUUAAAACCUUAUAUAUUGUAGUAAAAAAAUUAAAAAUUACUCCAUUCGUCCCAAAUUGUAUGACGUUUUGGGCAUUUCACACAUAUUAAGAAAUGUAAUUAAUAUUGUGUAGGAAAGAGAUAUUAUGAGUUGUUUUACAAAAUUAUCCUCAAUAAAUGAUAUGAGAAAGAUAAAUGAAGGAAUUGAAAGGAGAGAGUAAUAAAUAGUUAAGGAUAUAAUAGGAAAAAUAAUAUUAAUUUUUCAUUGGUAUUGUAAAGCGACAUAUAAUUUGGGACAAAUAUUUUUUCUAAAGUGACAUACAAUUUGGGACGGAGGGAGUAUAUAAUUAUCUGUGGUUUGACUGAUGUUGAACAUCAUUCUGACACUGUUCAUGUUCCAUCACUUUAUCUAACAAGGUUAGAACAGAAAACACAUUAAUACAUUCUCUCCUUUAACUUUUUUCAGGUGGCCAUGCUCUUGGUUCUUUUUAUUGAAUAGCAUUGAGCAACAAAAUUGAAAAAUAACACUUGCAGAACAUUUUCAUUGUAAAUUUGAUCAAUGGGUUCUAGAUUUGUGGAAGGAGAACAAUCAUCACUCACUGACGAUUAGGAUGCCUUGAUUUCGACGACUGAUGUUGAGCUUCUCAAGCGAGCUUGGCGUAAUGAAAAGGCAGCCCCCCCUGAGAUUCUUCGUUUUGAAUCUGAUUUGAUCAACCGCGUCAAAGGACAGAUUGAAUUGAUGGUAACGUUUCAAAAACUGAUUACCUUUUACUUUUUGUGAUUUCUUAUGAUAGCUUGCCAACUGAAAAGAAUUUCAGUUUUGAACAAUUAUAAACUCAAUUAUAUCAUUUUCUGAAAAAGGAUUCUUCAUAAAAUCUUUAGGCAUGAACCAAAAAUGUAUGACACAUUUGGAUCUUAAAGCAACCUAUAACCCAAAAGGUUUAUUUAGCAUGAUAUUUUAUGUUGAGAAUGUGUCUUUGCAGAUGGUGUUAUGUAUCUCAUUUUCAAAUUGCUAUAUAGUGUUGGUAGUUAAUGUGUUUUUAGAUCGUAUUUGAAUUAAGAAUACUUAAGUUUAUAUGUUCGGACAUGAUAGGUUGAGGACCACUUCAACAAAUUUGGAAUGGACAUUUGCAGAGAUCUCGAAGGUGAAGAUGAAAUAAGAAUUUUCAGGUAUGAAUUGGAAGUAGAGAAAAUAUUGUGAAUGAAAUGAACUACUUGAAUUGUGUACAAUCAAAGAAACUUAAAGAUUACUACUCUUCAUUUGAUACAUCUAGAAAUUUUAUCUACUAUGUAAAAGUAAAUUUGAUUAUAAGGAGUUUUUUGAAUUCAUGUGUAACCACUCCCUUUUGAGUUCUAACCCCUCCAAUUAUAUAAUUUAAAUAACAUCAUUACCUUUGAUUGCUGUCAAAAAACAUGAGAAUCAUUUAAGAUUUCAAUAGAGUAAAAUAUAUGUAAUUAUGAAAUUAUUGAAGAUCAAUAUUAGUAAGUUUUGACCACUGUUGGAAACUCUGACACAUGCAUAUUCCAUGAUCAUUGAUUGUUGUCAAUCCACCAAUUCCUUUUAUUAUUUGCCUUGAAUAGAUUUUGUAGCAUCCACACAACAAUUCCUUUAAUUAGCAAAAUUUAUUAUGGAUAUUAGAAUGAAUAUUAAGUAACUUAUAAACCAUUGAUUUUUUGUUUCAAUGCAGACAUUGGCAGGACCAUUGUCGCUGCUUGCCGAAAGUGCAAUAAUCCUAAGGUUCACCUUGAUAGUCUUAGCUUCCACUUUCAAUAGUUAUGAUAUCCAAUUCUCCUCCCGUUGCUUUUUUUGUGAGAGGUGCCUUAUGACUAUGCAACUGAUGCUUCUUUGUAGCAGCAGGGACCUAUGUUGGUUUAGUUUGACGAGUUUAUGUGUUUUGAUGAAUUUUUUAGUGGUUUUGCUGUUAUAUCUCUUUUGUUUGCCACAUUGUAAUGGUCUAAUUUGGUUAUGUUACAAACUUCUUGGUGUUGAACACUUCUGUAAUCUUUAAUUUUGUACUAUCAAUCUUAUUUCAAAAUUCUGUUACUAUGACAAUGGUGGUUUGAACUAAAUCAUUGGAGUAUGGUGGAUCUGAUAUGAUAACUAUGAUAGUGUAUGUGACAAUGGUUUUUUUCUUGGUGUCAUUACAUUGUACUGCCUAUUAGUGUAGUUAUGUUUGUAGUAGGUUUGGUCUUCUGUUAUGAUGGGCGUAAAGACAACCACUGUUUAAGGUGUAGCAGUGUAAACCGAAGCAUAAGAUAUCAAGAUUCUUGAUGGAACUUUAUUUAGUGUUUGUCCAUCUUGAUAGCACAUUAUUUUGUGGGCCCACUACAAUUCUUCACUGUAAAUUGGUAGUGUCUUGCUGAAUAAUAAUGGUGAAGUUUGUGAUAAAUUAUCACUAUCUUAUUGAUUUCAUAUGAGGCACAAAACAAGAUUAAAUACAAAAUAGUAAAGUGUUAUAAGGUAAAUGACAUUUAAAAUAAACUAAUAAUCCACUCAUUAAUCCCUGUUACAUAAGAUUGGGUAAGUAGGUACCUGAAUGCAUUUCCGACCUAUAUACGUGGAUCGAAAUACACUCUCAUUUACUAGGAAGGAAAGUUAACGAGAAUGAAAAUGGAAAUCUAAAUUGAAAUUGAUAUGUUAUCUUAACCGAUGAAAAUGGUAAUUGCAAUGAUACUACUACCAAUGUCGUAUACAAAGAAAUUUUCCAUAAUGUAUGAACAUUGACAAUGAUGUUAAAAAAAUAAUAUUAAGGUCAUCUUAGUCAAAAAAAUUAUGUGUAUUAUAGCGCACGGGUUGUCGCAUAAGUUGUAUUAAUUACGUUUGACAUAUUAGAAUGAAGUUCAACUAAUAUUUUUAGCUAUAUAUGACCCGUGCUGCUGCACGGGUAGACGAUCUAGUUUAUUUCAAGGUAAAGAUGUAUAUAUAAAAAUCAGGGGUUCAAAUAUCAACACCAAACAAGUAGUAUUAGUUUUUGGGUUAACCCAAAAGCUUAAAAAAAAAAAACGAAAAACACGUGUCAGACAAAAAUAUCUGGUCAUCAUUAUCGAGAACCUUCAUUUCUUUACACCGCCUAACCAACUUAAUCAAUCUGGACCGUUGAUACAGUUGUCACCAACUAAUCUCAGCUGUUUAUUUUCUCCAUCACUCACUUUAUAUAAUCCGGUGAUAAACCAUUUCUUACCUUCGCCUAAUUUGCCGCGUGAAAAAUAGCUCUAUUAUUACCACCUUUUCUCUCCAAUUCUCACUUCUAGUUUCAUCCAUGGAUCUUCGAGAUCUCAAUUUCGUUCCACCUGAUCCUGAAUCGAAUAAGGUUAGUUAAUUUUUGUUUUUUUUUUCUCUUUAGUUUCUGUGAUGAGAUGCAUCGAUUUGAAUUUCGUUUAAUCGAUUCCGUUGUUUUGUUUGUAGGUCUCAGUGGAUCUACUGAUGAAUCGAUGAUCGUUUUUCCAUGUGUUGGAGAUACUGAUGGGAGAUUUGUGUUGAAUCAGAGCAAUUACCACGAUAUUAGUUGUUAAUAAUUUCAGUUUAUGGUAACAAUCCUUUAGAUGUUGUUAUAUUUUGUAUAACUUUCGAAUUCAAUCGGUGAGAUCGGAAGUUUUUGGUUGAGAGAGAGAGAGAGAGAGAGGAAGGUGCUAUUUGUUGAAUUCCUGUGAGAUUUGUGAAUGGAUCUUUGCCAUGUCAGGUGCGCUUGCUUGGCAGAUCCGAAAAAGCUUAAUAAAAUUGCAGUUAUUUUGUUUUGAGAGGGAAGAGAGAGAUAGGUUUGGGGAUAGUUUUUUUCUCCGCCUCUCUAUCUUUUCCCUCUGUUGUGUGUGUGUCUUGCCUCUUGCAUCUCUUUUUUUCUGUUCUGUUACUUUUCGUUACUCUACCAUUAUGCACGAUGCGUACACUACUAAUUACAAGAGUUAUAAUUAACUAAACCUAAUUCAACAAUCAAUCGGCAACAUGUUGAGGUAUGGCUGCAAUUCAACUUUACGAUACACUUCAUUGUGUUUAAGAUAGACAUGUGCAAUGUUUUCAUCAGUAAGUUAUUUUAUUUUAUUAUUUAUAUUUACCUUUGUCCCUAUUUAUAAAAAUGUCAAAUUUUGUUGUCCAUUUUAUAAGACCCUCUUCAAAUAUUAAGUUUACAAGAUUCAUCAAUUCUCUCUCUUAAUAAUUGAAGGAUAAUUUUGAGAAGAUUGUACAUUGUUUACUAAUUUAAUGCAAGAACAUUUUUUCAUAAUUCUUGUGCUUUUAUCAAAAGGGUCUUAUAAAUAUACGGACGGAUGUAGUUUCAUAUUUUUUGCUUUUUGUGAAUCAAUUUUGUACGGUUAAAUUCAAUUGACCAUGUCUGGAUUGUUUAAAUAAUAACAUGUCUGCAAAGUUUUCUACUAUAAAAAAAUGCAGUUGGUUUUGAGGGGUAACGGGUUCAAGUUUUCUGCAAAGUUUUCUACUGGUAAAGUUGUUGUCAUGUGACUGGAAGGUCACGGGUUCAAGUCCUGGAAAUAGCCUCUUGUGUAAAAAAUAGGGUAAGGCUGCGGACAAUACACCGAAUGGUGGGACCCCUUCCCGGUCCCUGCGUAUGCGGGAGCUUUAGUGCACCGAGUUGCCUUUUUUUUUUUUUUAUGCAUGCUACGAUUAGAUUCAAUAGAGAGUUAGAUUGCUCUCAGUUAGUGUCAAAUAGUGGCUAUUUUGGCACUAUUGCAUAGCAAAAUUUGAACAAAUCACUUCUGUCACAUAAUCCGCUGUUUAAAACAAAGUGUUGUCAAAUAGCCGCUAUUGUGGCGUUAUAGCAUAGUGAAAUUUGAGUAUUGCACUUGCAAUUGACAACUCUAUCAUAAGCUUUUCUUUGAUUCUGCACAGUCGAAUUGGUACUGAAUCAUUUAUCUUGCCGAUGAGGCAGCUAACUUAUUGGUGAAUACAAUAAAUUAAAACGCAAUGCAUAUAUUGUUGCCUCAUGACCACUUGAACUGUGAUACGUAUAAUCUCAACUUCUCAUUUGCCAAUUUUAUUUGAUAAUUUUCCAGUACAUAUCUACAUGGUUGUAAUCAUGUCUGAUAUCCGUAUUCAUUCAAUACUAUAUAUAACUGUCAACAUAAAAUGGCUGUUGGACUGUAUGGUUGACAUUUUGCGUCUGUUAUAAGCUGUUUGUUGGACUUGUAAUUGGGUUUCCUUUGGAUGUGUGGAAUUUUAUUGUACGAUCCAUUUGUAUAAUAUGCCAAGGAGCUUACUAGCUGAAGAGUGCAGAUUUUUUGUAAAAAACUCUGUCCAGUGUAUCUUCAAAGCUCUUGAUGUAGUUUCUACUAUUGAUCAACAAUUUCAAGUUAUGCACUCUUUUUAAGCAUUGUGCGACCUGUAAUAGAUCUUGUAGCGUAAAAUGUGAAGACCUGAUUGCUGCUAGAGGAUGAAGGUUUCAGGACUGGUCUGCUCAACUUGUCCGACAGUUUUCUGAAGCAAAGAAGGUCAUUCGAUGCUUUUGUUGGAGGUAUAGGUUUAUCCCAAAUGACAGUUACAGCUGGCUCAUGGCAUUUGAUUAAGUUUAUAUUAAUUCUUUUAUUUACUCUCUUUGCAGAAUUUGUUGGCGGUAUAUGUUCGUGUGAAAUUUCAAUUGGUGAGAUCAGGAGUCGUGUUUGCGUGAGAUGCAUGUAAUGUGAGUGUGAAGUAUAUACACAACACAAGGUAUCUGUGUUAAAUGGAUCUUCGCCAUGCCAGGCGUGCUUGCGUGGCAGGUCCUAAAAAUCUGAAUUGUUUUUUAUUUGUUGGCUGUAUAUUGUUCUUGUGAAUUUCAAUUGGUGGGAUCAGAAGUCGAGGUUGCGUGAGAUACAUGUAAUGUGAGUGUGAAGUAUAUACACAACAGCACAAGGUAUCUGUGUUAAAUGGAUCUUUGCCAUGUCAGGUGCGCUUGCAUGGCAGGUCCGAAAAAUCUUAAUGAAGUUACAGUUAUUUUGUUUUGAGAGGGGAGAUAGGUUUGGGGACAUUUUAUUUUAUCCCCCCCCCCCCCCCCUCCCUCCCUCCCUCCCUGUCGUGUGUCUUGUCUCUGUUUUUUCUUUUCUUUCUUGCUUCUCUGUUCUGUUACAUUCCUUUACUCUACUAUUAUGAAGGAUUCUUAUAAACAAAACCUAAUUCGACAAGCAAUCGACAGCACAUUGAAGUACAUAAUGCGAUAAGAAGGUACAUGGUUGUGUUGUUAUGAUAUUAUUACCAGAUUUAUUCUCUAUCCUGAAUUCAUGACAUUAUUUGUGGUUUCUGACUAAAAUUGAAGGCCAUGGCUGCAAUUAAACUCUACGAUACGUUUAAUCGAUUUACUUUAGACGGUCACCUCACGAGCAAUAUUUUCAUCAUUGAGUUAUUUUAUUAUUUUUAUAUCAAAUAAUUUUUUUACAGUGAAAGAAUACAAUUAUAUGUUGAAUUCUAGAAUACAUUAAGGGUAUGUUUGAAUUCAAUCAAGUAUAGUUUUGCAAAUUUUUCUACUUUAAUAGUGUGUGAUUGAUUUUGUUGUGGUACACAUUCUACAAUUAGACUCUGAUGAGAGGAGAUACUGUCAAUUCCAUACUCUAUGUUUACACUAAAAUUUUAAUUGAGUUUAAAUGCAAACAUCCUAAUACAAUAGCAAAUGUAACUUGAUAUCUGGUUUUUUUUUUUUGAGAGAAAGAACUUGAUAUCUGGUUUAUAUUGUAUUGUUUUUUAUUCAGUGUUUUGAACCUGAAUUAUACCAAAUGAGAAAAUAUUAACCAGAAAGUUUCCUUAAGCACUAUUGAGAUUCUCGUGUCUGUUAAUGUGUGGAAUUAUCAACCAUUUCAAGUUAUGCACUCUUUGCUUGUGCGACCUGGAACACAUCUUGUAAAAGUGAAAUUUGAAGACUUGAUUGCUGCUAGAGGAUCAAGAUUUUGUAAAGCAGGGAAGGUCAUUUGAUGCUUUUGUUGGAAGCCUUGGAGGUAUAUGUUUUUAUCCCGAAUGACAGUUGCAGCUGGUUCAUGGCAUUCGAUGAAGUAUAUAUACAGAAUUUGUUGGAGGUAUGUUUUUUUAUUCCUUGUGAGCAUGUGAGCGUAUACUACAUCAACACAAGGUACUUGUUCUGUUUCUGUGUUAGUUAAGGGAUCUUUGCCAUGUCAGGUGCGCUUGCAUGCCAGGUCUGAAAUAUCUUAAUAAAAUUAUAGUUAUUUUGUUUUGAGAGGUGAGGGAGAGAUAGGUUUGGAGACAUUUUCUUCUAUUUCUUUGCCUGGCCUCUCCCCCUCUCUGCUGUGUGUCUUGCCUCUUCUGUCUCUCCUAGCCUCUCUUUUUCUAUUAUGUUGCUUUCCUUUACUAUUAUGCGCCACACAUACUAAUAACAAGAUUCUAAUUAACAAAACAUAAUCGGCAACACAUUGAGGUACACAGUGCGAUGACAAGGUGCAUGGUUAUGUUGUUAACCUGAAUUUGUGGCAUUACUUGUGGUGUAUUGAUUAAAAUUGAAGGCUAUGAAUUGAAGGCUAUUUCUGUAAUUGAACUCUACGAUAUGUUCAUUCUAUUCACUUAAGACAGUCACGAGCAAUAUUUACAUCAAUAUUUUAUUAUUUAUAUCCGUUACCAUUUUUUCGCGAUUUUUAGAAAUAAACUUGUGGUUAAAUGAUACAUUUAGGAUAUAUUUUGUGAUUUCUAGAAAUAAAUUUUCACAGUUAAAUGACACAUAGGAUAUGUUUGAAAUCAAUCAAAUUUCUGUUUGCAACUGUAGGAGCCUGCACUUGAUUUUGUAGUGUUACACAUGUUACAAUUAGACUCAGAUGAGCACAAGAUUACCGUCGAUUCGGUAUUGUGUUUAUAAGUGUUAAACAUAUUAAUACCCGGUGUCUGUUAAAUAGUGGUGCUAUAGCACUGUUGUAUAGCGGAGUUAGAUUAGACUGCUAUAGUGCUAUUUUCUGUGAUUUGUGAUUGCCAACAAUGCUUGUACCUUUUCAUUCCGCUCAAAGCAUUAAAUCUUUAUAAUAACAGACUUGAUUUGGUAUUGGAUCAUCCAAAUUAUCUGACAGUUAACUUCUUUUGUGAAGACAAUAGAUAAAAAUGCAGAUGCUAGUUGACAUGAAAUGUGUUUGAUAUCACUUGGUUGUAAAUCGGAUAUUCCAUGUUUAUAAUUUAGAAGCUGCGGCAUAUCUCAGAGUAGCAGGAAUUGAGGCAUACACCCUAACUCACUACUCUUCAUCACAUGACAAAGUGAAUUUAUUUAUUCAUUGAGGAUGAAGAAAAGGGAAUGAAAGAAAGAAGAGAAUGAAGAUGUGUUCUAUAAUAUAAUUAUUGACAGGUAGACAAUUCACUCAACAAAAUCAAUGGAGAAGCACAAUUUCUUGUUAGAAGUACCGAUGAACUCCUAUUUAUUGUACUGAGAGACAGAGUAUUUUUUAGGGGAUAAAAUGGAAUUUCAUGAUUUUAUUCCUCAGACAAAAAAUGUUUUAAUAAACUUCAGUUUAUGAUAUAAUUUUCAAAAAAGAAUGAUCUGUAAAUUUAGGCCCGUGAUUUACAAUUAAUUUUAAUAAGAUAUUUUUAUUGUAGGAAUAUUGAAAACAGAGUGAUGUGUAAGGUAGCUUUCUUUUUCUUGAGAGUCUGUCAGUCGCACAUGAUAAUUUGUUUGGAUGAACAGGCCAUUUUAUAACAUACAAAUAAACCGGCUUUUUCAACUAUAAUGAAUUUGUUAUUAGAUGUGUCUGAACCCUAUGAUGGAUCCAUAUGCUCGUAUUGGAAUGAGCCCCCAAACUGCUUUGUAUGGGAGAUUGGUGGUUCGACUCCACCUGGAUCCGACUUUUGUCAAUCAUGUUUAUGCAUAGCAAUUAGCACUCAUCUUCAUAUGUCCGCUAAAUCAAGUUGUGGCGGCAUGUAUGAAAGGCCUUGAUAGUGUUAAGAGGUGUACAAUUGAAGAGAGUUUAAGAGUAAGUUAGCAGGUUACUUUCACUCUCUAAGGCAAAUAUUGUGAAAUAAUUUAUAAAUGAUAUUUUUUUUAUUUAAUCAUUUAGAAAUAAUACUGAUGUCAAGCUUGUUAAAUACUUGGCAUAAAUAUCAUGCAUGCAAGUGAUUAGUUAGUUGGUAAGAAAUCUUAAGUA
RNAcentral lists this long non-coding RNA (22945 nucleotides) under Medicago truncatula (barrel medic). RNAcentral's name for it is "long non-coding RNA (MTRU_LNC008508)". The record is from RNAcentral. Lineage: Eukaryota; Viridiplantae; Streptophyta; Magnoliopsida; Fabales; Fabaceae.